This 319-nucleotide ribosomal RNA is filed under the name uncultured eukaryote. Its description in RNAcentral is "partial 18S ribosomal RNA". It matches the Rfam family "Eukaryotic small subunit ribosomal RNA", at positions 1470 to 1796 of the family's 1831-position model. The record is from RNAcentral.
CCCUUAGAUGUUCUGGGCAGCACGCGCGCUACAAUGGUCUUCGCAAACGGAUGCAUUCUCGAAGGAGAAUGCCAAUCUUGGAAUCUAUGACUUGGUCGGGACAGUUGCUUGCAAUUUUUCGACUCGAACCAGGAAUUCCUUGUAAUCGUGAUUCAUCACAUCACGAUGAAUACGUCCCUGCCCUUUGUACACACCGCCCGUCGCUCCUACCGAUCGAAGAGUUAGGUGAAUUGUUUUGAUCGAUAAGAUUUGACUAUGGUCAACUCUCGUUGUGAAAUUCUGUGAAUCUGACUGUUUAGAGGAAGGAAAAGUCGUAACA